UUUACAUACAGGUGUGAGCCGUAUUUACUUACUUAUUUUUACAUACAGGUGUGAGCCAUAUUUACUUAUUUUUACAUACAGGUGUGAGCCAUAUUUAUUUUUACAUACAGGUGUGAGCCAUAUUUACUUAUUUUUACAUACAAUACAAACACUUUAAAUAAAGUUGAAGAUUAUUUCCAUGGACCAGGUGGUCAAGCCGAACACCCAGGAUCCAGCUGUCAAGUUCAGGGUAGCCCCUGAGCUUCUCACUCUGACUCCAACAGGGUGAGCUUGCUAUCCUUGUGGCACAGGGCCUUUUGCAUUGUGGAUGAUGGAGCGGCUCGUAUAGUCCCUAAGUUUUGUGCGUAGCUGUGUACCCUGUCCCUGUGAGCUGGUUCUGCCCGGCACCUCGGUGACCUCGAGGAAAGAAGCUGAGAGACAGAGUCUUGCUUUGUCACCCAGGCUGGAGGACAGUGGCACCAUCAUAGCUCACUGCGGACUCGAAUUCCUGGGCUCAAGGGAUCCUCCUGCCUCGGCCUCCAAAAAUGACGGAGUCUUGCUGUGUCACCCAGGCUGGAGUGCAGUGGUAC
Molecule: long non-coding RNA, 569 nt
Filed under: Pan troglodytes (chimpanzee)
Lineage: Eukaryota; Metazoa; Chordata; Mammalia; Primates; Hominidae
Description: lincRNA
Source: RNAcentral